Molecule: ribosomal RNA, 252 nt
Filed under: uncultured bacterium
Lineage: Bacteria
Description: partial 16S ribosomal RNA
Rfam family: Bacterial small subunit ribosomal RNA
Source: RNAcentral
UACGGAGGAUGCGAGUGUUAUCCGGAUUUAUUGGGUUUAAAGGGUGCGUAGGCGGGAUGCCAAGUCAGCGGUAAAAAUGCGGUGCUCAACGCCGUCGAGCCGUUGAAACUGGCGUUCUUGCGUGGGCGAGAAGUAUGCGGAAUGCGUGGUGUAGCGGUGAAAUGCAUAGAUAUCACGCAGAACUCCGAUUGCGAAGGCAGCAUACCGGCGUCCUACUGACGCUGAGGCACGAAAGCGUGGGUAUCGAACAGG